RNAcentral lists this ribosomal RNA (498 nucleotides) under uncultured bacterium. RNAcentral's name for it is "partial 16S ribosomal RNA". It matches the Rfam family "Bacterial small subunit ribosomal RNA", at positions 28 to 507 of the family's 1533-position model. The record is from RNAcentral.
GACGAACGCUGGCGGCGUGCCUAAUACAUGCAAGUCGAACGAGAGCAACCGGUGCUUGCACUGGUCAAUCUAGUGGCGCACGGGUGAGUAACACGUGGGUAACCUGCCCAUCAGAGGGGGAUCACAUCCGGAAACGGAUGCUAACCCGGCAUGGGCUUCCGACCCACUUGGUUUGUGGGGAAAAUUCGGCGCAAGCUUCUGCUCUCGCAUGUUCCCGCGGUGCUUUAGAUGGUUGGUGAGGUAACGGCUCACCAAGGCCGUGAUGCAUAGCCGACCGGAGAGGGUGAUCGGCGACAUUGGGACUGAGACACGGCCAAAACGCCUACGGGAGGCAGCAGUAGGGAAUCUUCCGCAAUGGACGCAAGUCUGACGGAGCAACGCCGCGUGAGUGAAGAAGGUUUUCGGAUCGUAAAACUCUGUUGUUAGAGAAGAACAAGUGCUAGAGUAACUGUUAGCGGCGUGACGGUAUCUAACCAGAAAGCAACGGCUAACUACGUG